GGGAUUACCUCAGUAACGGCGAGUGAAGCGGUAACAGCUCAAAUUUGAAAUCUGGGUCUUUCAGGCUCCGAGUUGUAAUUUGUAGAAGAUGCUUCGGGUGCGGCUCCGGUCUAAGUUCCUUGGAACAGGACGUCAUAGAGGGUGAGAAUCCCGUAUGUGAUCGGUUGCUUGCGCCCAUGUGAAGCUCUUUCGACGAGUCGAGUUGUUUGGGAAUGCAGCUCAAAAUGGGUGGUAAAUUUCAUCUAAAGCUAAAUAUUGGCCAGAGACCGAUAGCGCACAAGUAGAGUGAUCGAAAGAUGAAAAGCACUUUGGAAAGAGAGUUAAACAGUACGUGAAAUUGUUGAAAGGGAAGCGCUUGCAACCAGACUUGCGCGUUGCCGAUCAUCUGGGGUUCUCCCCAGUGCACUCGGCCUCGCUCAGGCCAGCAUCGGUUUCGGUGGUGGGAUAAAGGCCUUGGGAAUGUAGCUCCUCUCGGGGAGUGUUAUAGCCCUCGGUGCAAUGCCGCCUACCGGGACCGAGGACCGCGCUUCGGCUAGGAUGCUGGCGUAAUGGUUGUAAGCGACCCGUCUUGAAACACGGACCAAGGAGUCUAACAUCUAUGCGAGUGUUUGGGUGUCAAACCCAUACGCGUAAUGAAAGUGAACGGAGGUGAGAACCCUUAAGGGUGCAUCAUCGACCGAUCCUGAUGUCUUCGGAUGGAUUUGAGUAAGAGCAUAGCUGUUGGGACCCGAAAGAUGGUGAACUAUGCCUGAAUAGGGUGAAGCCAGAGGAAACUCUGGUGGAGGCUCGCAGCGGUUCUGACGUGCAAAUCGAUCGUCAAAUUUGGGUAUAGGGGCG
RNAcentral lists this ribosomal RNA (837 nucleotides) under Coleophoma eucalyptorum. RNAcentral describes it as "partial 28S ribosomal RNA". It matches the Rfam family "Eukaryotic large subunit ribosomal RNA", at positions 71 to 925 of the family's 3401-position model. The record is from RNAcentral. Lineage: Eukaryota; Fungi; Ascomycota; Leotiomycetes; Helotiales; Dermateaceae.